RNAcentral lists this ribosomal RNA (523 nucleotides) under uncultured bacterium. Its description in RNAcentral is "bacterial SSU rRNA". It matches the Rfam family "Bacterial small subunit ribosomal RNA", at positions 355 to 896 of the family's 1533-position model. The record is from RNAcentral.
UGGGGAAUAUUGGACAAUGGGCGCAAGCCUGAUCCAGCCAUGCCGCGUGAGUGAAGAAGGCCUUAGGGUUGUAAAGCUCUUUUAGCGGGGAAGAUAAUGACGGUACCCGCAGAAUAAGCCCCGGCUAACUUCGUGCCAGCAGCCGCGGUAAUACGAAGGGGGCUAGCGUUGUUCGGAAUUACUGGGCGUAAAGCGCACGCAGGCGGAUUGAUAAGUCAGGGGUGAAAUCCCGGGGCUCAACCUCGGAAUUGCCUUUGAUACUGCCAGUCUUGAGUCCGGGAGAGGUGAGUGGAAUUCCUAGUGUAGAGGUGAAAUUCGUAGAUAUUAGGAAGAACACCAGUGGCGAAGGCGGCUCACUGGCCCGGUACUGACGCUCAGGUGCGAAAGCGUGGGGAGCAAACAGGAUUAGAUACCCUGGUAGUCCACGCCGUAAACGAUGGAUGCUAGCCGUUGGGGAGCUUGCUCUUCAGUGGCGCAGCUAACGUCUUAAGCAUCCCGCCUGGGGAGUACGGUCGCAAGAUUA